This 737-nucleotide ribosomal RNA is filed under the name Vibrio sp. RNAcentral's name for it is "bacterial SSU rRNA". It matches the Rfam family "Bacterial small subunit ribosomal RNA", at positions 56 to 774 of the family's 1533-position model. The record is from RNAcentral. Lineage: Bacteria; Pseudomonadati; Pseudomonadota; Gammaproteobacteria; Vibrionales; Vibrionaceae.
UGCAGUCGAGCGGAACGAGUUAUCUGAACCUUCGGGGAACGAUAACGGCGUCGAGCGGCGGACGGGUGAGUAAUGCCUAGGAAAUUGCCCUGAUGUGGGGGAUAACCAUUGGAAACGAUGGCUAAUACCGCAUGAUGCCUACGGGCCAAAGAGGGGGACCUUCGGGCCUCUCGCGUCAGGAUAUGCCUAGGUGGGAUUAGCUAGUUGGUGAGGUAAGGGCUCACCAAGGCGACGAUCCCUAGCUGGUCUGAGAGGAUGAUCAGCCACACUGGAACUGAGACACGGUCCAGACUCCUACGGGAGGCAGCAGUGGGGAAUAUUGCACAAUGGGCGCAAGCCUGAUGCAGCCAUGCCGCGUGUGUGAAGAAGGCCUUCGGGUUGUAAAGCACUUUCAGUCGUGAGGAAGGUAGUGUAGUUAAUAGCUGCAUUAUUUGACGUUAGCGACAGAAGAAGCACCGGCUAACUCCGUGCCAGCAGCCGCGGUAAUACGGAGGGUGCGAGCGUUAAUCGGAAUUACUGGGCGUAAAGCGCAUGCAGGUGGUUUGUUAAGUCAGAUGUGAAAGCCCGGGGCUCAACCUCGGAAUAGCAUUUGAAACUGGCAGACUAGAGUACUGUAGAGGGGGGUAGAAUUUCAGGUGUAGCGGUGAAAUGCGUAGAGAUCUGAAGGAAUACCGGUGGCGAAGGCGGCCCCCUGGACAGAUACUGACACUCAGAUGCGAAAGCGUGGGGAGCAAACA